This 766-nucleotide long non-coding RNA is filed under the name Brassica napus (rape). Its description in RNAcentral is "long non-coding RNA (BNAP_LNC015758)". The record is from RNAcentral. Lineage: Eukaryota; Viridiplantae; Streptophyta; Magnoliopsida; Brassicales; Brassicaceae.
CCCAUUCAUGGUACACCGGCUCAGUGAAAAUAAAAGCUUCAAAAAGACAUAACAACAUUGGGAAGAAGCCAUUAAAACAAAGUUUCAAAAACAAUUUCAGUAAAAAAACACAAAGCUUUACAAACAAACUUUUAGAUUUUGGGAAGUGCAUCAGAGAGAUUCCCAUUUAGACAAUAGUCAUCAUUCUACUUCUCGCUAAGGAGAAUCUGAUGUCCCUGUCUUUUUAGAAUUUCCGAGGAAAUUUCGAGGAAACACAAAAUUGGGUUUCCUCAGAAUUUCCUCGGAAUAUACCAUAAUCUAUGUAAACAAGAAUACUAGCCUCUAAUGCAACACUAAGCUAACGCAGAGGAAAACAUCUUACAAUCCAGAGAAAAACAGAUUAAUAAAUUCAAUACAAAUUAAGUAUGAAAAGAGAUCAAAUUGGCUAAACAGCGACUAACCGGAGAGGUGAAGAACAAAACCAUAAACAAACUGGAUCGUCUUUGAAUCGUUUUUAUGGAUGAAACAAACCAGAAUCGUCUUUGAAUCCAGACAGAGAAGAUGGAGUGAUCGCGAUUGGAUCGCCGAGAAAGAUCGAGACAGAAUCGAGAGAGAAAGUCGAUUGAUCGAGAUUGGAGGAGGAAGAGAGAAAGUCGAGGAGGAGAACAAACUGAUUUCGACAAAAGACCCCGACGAAAGAGAGAGAGAGAAAUGGGAGAUCCAUUAAGAUAAUGACACGUAAGGGCUCUUACCAAUCCUAAAAAUCCCACAUUUAACACCGGUUCUC